RNAcentral lists this long non-coding RNA (4128 nucleotides) under Cricetulus griseus (Chinese hamster). RNAcentral describes it as "lncRNA (ENSCGRG00015038595.1)". The record is from RNAcentral. Lineage: Eukaryota; Metazoa; Chordata; Mammalia; Rodentia; Cricetidae.
GGGGAGAGUUUGAUCUCCAUCGAGUAGUCAGUACAGAGAAGUCAUAGCUGGAACUCAAGACAACAACUGAUGCAGAGGCCAUGGCUCUAUCAGCUACUUUCUUAUACCCCAGGACCAUGGGCCCAGGGUGGCACUGCCCCUGUGGGAUGGACCCACCCACAUCAUCAGUUGAGAAAGUGUGUUCCAGGCUUGCCCACAAGCUAGUCUGGGAGGAGACUUCUUAAUUGAGAUCCCCUCUUUUGAAAUGACUAUCCUGUGUCAAGUUACAUAAAACUAGCAGGUAGCAUGAAUUUACUUUUGAACUCUUGUUGUCUGUAUUUUGACAAAACCACUCAGUGGCUGCAGAAACCUCCCCCUGAAAGCAAUGGAUUUUGAGAACACAGUCACCACGGAAUCUACACUGAUAAGUUACUGAUAAUGUUGAUAGUCACACAUUGCUACAUCUGUGCACUGAUUUGAAAACAAUCCUUGGGUGACAUUGUAAAAUCAGGAGAAAGGCUUAGGAGGACAGAGGUUGGAGUCCAGUGCCAACUCCUUCUGUGUUCUAUGAAUAGCAGCAAUGUCACCUAGACAAACUCUACCAGUGUUCAAACGUUUUCAUGGAGUAAGUAAACGGCCAGUGCUUCCUGUUGGUGAGGUGUAUUUGACUUAGGCUGGGCAGGAGUUAGAGACACACAUCAGACUAUAGGAAAUUCACUUUCUCACUAACAAAGGAUUUGUACCCAAAUAAAAUUACCAACCUGGUCCACUUAAAAUUUUGGUGUUAGGUUUGGGUGAUUUUAUUCAUUCUUUGGUUUCUGGUGUUAAGGGUUGUACUGACGACCUCGGUGUCCUGGAUGCUUGUCCUCUCUUGAUCCUCAGUGGGCAUUGUUAAGAAGAGUUCUGUCCACUCCCGGUCUGGAAAAAAGGCUCAGCAGUUAAGAGUGCUUCCUGCUUACGUACAGUGCCUCACAACCAUCUGUAACUCCAUUUCUCUUGGACCCAAUGCUCCAUUCUGGUCUGCAAGCAUUCUGCUUGCCUACAUGACAUCACUUAGGCAAACACAAAGAAGUUUUAGGUCACACAAAAGCAUUGCCUCCCUGAAGGUGGUCUGCAACAAGCAGUCUCCCCCGUUCUAUUAUAAUUCAUGGUCAGGUGGGCCACUGCCAGGGUAAGUAGUUAUAGAUAUAUACUUUCCAAACACAAUACAGCCAAAUCUGGAGCUGUGAUUCUGCUUCUUGUAUCCUAAGUUUUACAAAUGGAGGUCAGAGGAGAAUGCAUGGUUGGGUGUAGAACCACCAGAUGGCGGUAUGUGUGGACUAAAAGCAUUGAUUCCCUCUGCAGCGGGGAUGUUCCUUACCUUACUUCACAAAAGACAGGUUUUCUUUUUUUGGCAUCUGUUUUCUCUCUCUCUCUCUCUCUCUCUCUCUCUCUCUCUCUCUCUCUGUCUGUCUGUCUGUCUGUCUGUCUCUCUCCUGCUAAUGCAGAGGCUCAAGUUGCUGUACACAAUGUCAUUUUCGAUCUUUUUCCACUUUAUCGAGGCAGUAUCUCUCACUGGACCUGGAGUUUGCCAAUGCCGGCAAUCAGUCUAGCCAGCCAGCUUGCCCUGAGAAAGCUGUCUGUGCCUCCUGAGGACAGAUGGCCACCACCCUACAUUUCUGUGGGUUCUAGGGGUUCAUAUUCUUCACACUUGCAGGCUAGCACUAGAGCCCACUUAAACUCCCAAGCCUCCUUAAACUGCUUGAGGGUGAAUGAUGGAUAAAGUCAUUGUAGUCUUGGCAAGUGUGAUCUGGAACAUAGCUGGAUCUUCCAGAAACUAAGAUAUUAUAAAUGGAUUUCCAAGAGAGAUUGAAAUAAUCAUUAAGCUGCCAUGGGGAAAGAAGCUAGGGAAAAUCUUAAUGAAAAAAGAUUAAACUGGUCUAUUGAUUACCACUUCCUUGUUUUGACCAAGUCCCUGGCCAAAAGCAACUUCAGGGAGGAAGGAUUUAUUCUGUCUUACAGUUUGAGGAUGGCAGCAGGACUGAGGGAGGUUGGUCACAUGGUGUCAGUCAGGAAGCAAUGGAAACAAAUGCUGUGCUGAGCUUGCUUUCUUCUUUCCAUUCAGAACCCGAAGCCACCUCAUGUGCAUGUCCAGAGGUAUGUGUCCAUGCUCACUCUAAACCCAGGCAGCCGGUCAUGAAGAUUGUUCUCCCAGGAUGAGAAGACCACAGAGGACCACAGAAGACCUACAUCCAAAGGAUGACACUUCAGAACAGGCCAUUCAGGAAGGGGAAGCAGGAGCCACACCAAAGCCCUUGUCCCGUGAAAUCCAGCAUGAACCAGGUCCUAGAUUAAAGAUGAAUGACAUUUCGUGGGAAUUAUAGUUCCUGGCUUCUCCUGGGCCUCAUCUUCUCUCGAAUUCAAGAUUCAUUUUUCUCUUGCACAUGAAAGGUAGUAAGUGUGACAGUUAAUACUGUCCACCUGACAGGCUCUAAAAUCACCUGGGAGACAGGAUUAUCUAGAUUAGAUUAUUAAGGCAGGAAGAGAGUGAGCUGAACGGAACACCGCCAUCCUCCUCUGCUUCCGGACUGGUCCUGACUGGAAGCCACAUGACCAGAUGCUUGUCCCCCCCCCCCAGGGCUUCUUCACCAUGAAGGACUGCACCCUUGUGAGCCAAGAAAGCCCUUCCUCUCUUGAAUUGCUUCAGUCCGGGUGUUUGAUAAGUGAGCAAGCAGAGUAUGUUUCUGGGUCUACUCCCUGUCCUUAGUAGUUCAAGGGUCCAAAAGUUUUACUUCACUACAUGGAGCUGGGGUUACGGACAGUUGUGAGCUGCCUGAUUCAGUGCUGGCCAUUGAACCCGGGUCCUCUGGAAGAGCAGCCAGUGUUCUGAACUGCUGAACCAUCCGUCCAGCCCCCUGAGGCAGAAGGUGUAACUGAGCGUGGAAGUCGUGCCUCAACACAAUCAUAAAUCCCAACUCUCUCAGCAAAGACAGGUGAGUUUUUGUUCCAGAUGUUUAAGAAAACCUUAGUGCUGGGGCUGGAGAGAUGGCUCAGAGGUUAAGAGCACUGGUUGCUCUUCCAGAGGUUCUGAGUUCAAUUCCCAGCAACCACAUGGUGGCUCACAACCAUCAGUAAUGAGACCUGGUGCCCUCUUCUGGCAUGCAGGCAUAAAUGCAGGUAGAAUACUGCAUACAUAAUAAAAUAAAUCUUUAAAAAAUGAGGUUAUUAAAAAAAGAGAGAGAGGGAAAACCUUAGUGCUGACUGUAGCAAGCUUUUUGUUGGACAGUCUUUGGAUUACCAGCCCCCAAAUAACAACAUGAAGACUUCUUGUUAUGAAAGCUCUGCCUAUAACUUAGGCUUCUUCCUAACUAGCUCUUAUAACUUAAAUUAACUCAUAUUUUUAUUAAUCUGCAUUCUACCACAUGGCUUUUACUUCUAUCUCAUUCUGUGUGUCGGACUUGUUCUGCAUCUGGCUGGGCUUCUCUGCCUCUCUUCUUCCCAGAGUCCUCUCUGUGCCUGGAAGUCCCGCAUAUACUUCCUGUCUAGUUAUUGUCCACUUAGCUCUUUAUUAAACUAAUCAGAAGACAAAGACACAUCUUCACAAUGUACAGGAAGAUUAUUCCACAUCUGACUAAACUAAAAACUAUAGUCAUUUCCAAGAACAGAGAUGUACCUUCACGGCUUAGUUCAGAAACUCACUAAGUACCAGCUCCCAUAAUCAGAGGACUAAGAAAAGGGGACUAGAUCCUGUGACUCACAUUAUCCAGCCUGUCCAGUCUCCAGCAACAGAUUUCCAAAGCAUGCAAAGAAUGAGACAUAAUGCCUGCCUGCUUAAAUACCAAUAGGAAAUGUCUACACGAAGCCAGAACAUUGAACUUUCCAGACAGAAAUUCCAUAUCAGUUACUAUAAAUAUGUUCACAGGUUACCAUUUUUAAAGAAUUUUUUAAAGGUCUAAGAAUGAUGUCUUGGAAACAGUAUCACCGAAGAGAAUAUCUUAAAAAUGAACACAUAUAAAUUCUGUACUUGAAAAGUACAAUAGCCAAAACAAAAAUCUCAUCAAAAGAGCUCAAUGAUAGAGUUGAGGUAGAAAAGAAAUCAGUGAUUAUAUCAUUUGAGGAAGCCGGGGAAGAAAAUUUGUUUUUAAAAAUGAUGAAAGGAGCCUCAGAGAG